GGUCCUAUAGUGUAGUUGGUUAUCACCCAAGGUUUUGACUUCAAAACCUCCUUGUAACUCCGGUUCGAAUCCGGAUAGGACCU
This 83-nucleotide transfer RNA is filed under the name Candida albicans P57055. RNAcentral describes it as "tRNA-Gln". It matches the Rfam family "tRNA". From Rfam's summary of the family: Transfer RNA (tRNA) molecules are approximately 80 nucleotides in length. Their secondary structure includes four short double-helical elements and three loops (D, anti-codon, and T loops). Lineage: Eukaryota; Fungi; Ascomycota; Pichiomycetes; Serinales; Debaryomycetaceae. The record is from RNAcentral. RNAcentral also lists the same sequence under 1 other name.